AUGCUAACAGAGCACCCAACAGAGAGCUAGUAUUCUAGGAGAGCACCCAGCAGAGAGGUAGUAUGCUAACAGAGCACCCAACAGAGAGGUAGUAUGCUAACAGAGCACCCACAGAGAACUAGCAUGCUAACAGAGCACCACAGAGAACUAGCAUGCUAACAGAGCACCCAACAGACAGCUAGUAUGCUAACAGAGCACCCAACAGAGAACUAGCAUACUAACAGAGCACCACAGAGAACUAGCAUGCUAACAGAGCACCCAACAGACAGCUAGUAUGCUAACAGAGCACCCAACAGAGAGGUAGUAUGCUAACAGAGCACCCAACAGAGAGCUAGUAUUCUAGGAGAGCACCCAGCAGAGAGCUAGUAUGCUAACAGAGCACCCACAGAGAACUAGCAUGCUAACAGAGCACCACAGAGAACUAGCAUGCUAACAGAGCACCCAACAGACA
This is a long non-coding RNA of Oncorhynchus keta (chum salmon), 451 nucleotides long. RefSeq lists it as uncharacterized. The record is from RefSeq and is a predicted model, not a curated record. The transcript is spliced from 3 exons. NCBI's taxonomy places the organism in Eukaryota, Metazoa, Chordata, Actinopteri, Salmoniformes, Salmonidae.